GGCUACAUAGUGUAGUAGUUAGCACGUCUGUUUUACACACAGAACGUCCUGGGUUCAUGCCCCAGGUGGAGCCA
Molecule: transfer RNA, 74 nt
Filed under: Pteropus alecto (black flying fox)
Lineage: Eukaryota; Metazoa; Chordata; Mammalia; Chiroptera; Pteropodidae
Also listed under: 1 other name
Rfam family: tRNA
About the family: Transfer RNA (tRNA) molecules are approximately 80 nucleotides in length. Their secondary structure includes four short double-helical elements and three loops (D, anti-codon, and T loops).
Source: Rfam by way of RNAcentral